This 2908-nucleotide ribosomal RNA is filed under the name Salmonella enterica. RNAcentral describes it as "23S ribosomal RNA". It matches the Rfam family "Bacterial large subunit ribosomal RNA". The record is from RNAcentral. Lineage: Bacteria; Pseudomonadati; Pseudomonadota; Gammaproteobacteria; Enterobacterales; Enterobacteriaceae.
GGUUAAGCGACUAAGCGUACACGGUGGAUGCCCUGGCAGUCAGAGGCGAUGAAGGACGUGCUAAUCUGCGAUAAGCGCCGGUAAGGUGAUAUGAACCGUUAUAACCGGCGAUUUCCGAAUGGGGAAACCCAGUGUGAUUCGUCACACUAUCAUUAACUGAAUCCAUAGGUUAAUGAGGCGAACCGGGGGAACUGAAACAUCUAAGUACCCCGAGGAAAAGAAAUCAACCGAGAUUCCCCCAGUAGCGGCGAGCGAACGGGGAGGAGCCCAGAGCCUGAAUCAGCAUGUGUGUUAGUGGAAGCGUCUGGAAAGGCGCGCGAUACAGGGUGACAGCCCCGUACACAAAAGCGCAUGUGCUGUGAGCUCGAUGAGUAGGGCGGGACACGUGGUAUCCUGUCUGAAUAUGGGGGGACCAUCCUCCAAGGCUAAAUACUCCUGACUGACCGAUAGUGAACCAGUACCGUGAGGGAAAGGCGAAAAGAACCCCGGCGAGGGGAGUGAAAAAGAACCUGAAACCGUGUACGUACAAGCAGUGGGAGCACAGGUUUACCUGUGUGACUGCGUACCUUUUGUAUAAUGGGUCAGCGACUUAUAUUCUGUAGCAAGGUUAACCGUAUAGGGGAGCCGUAGGGAAACCGAGUCUUAACCGGGCGUUAAGUUGCAGGGUAUAGACCCGAAACCCGGUGAUCUAGCCAUGGGCAGGUUGAAGGUUGGGUAACACUAACUGGAGGACCGAACCGACUAAUGUUGAAAAAUUAGCGGAUGACCUGUGGCUGGGGGUGAAAGGCCAAUCAAACCGGGAGAUAGCUGGUUCUCCCCGAAAGCUAUUUAGGUAGCGCCUCGUGAACUCAUCUCCGGGGGUAGAGCACUGUUUCGGCUAGGGGGCCAUCCCGGCUUACCAACCCGAUGCAAACUGCGAAUACCGGAGAAUGUUAUCACGGGAGACACACGGCGGGUGCUAACGUCCGUCGUGAAGAGGGAAACAACCCAGACCGCCAGCUAAGGUCCCAAAGUCAUGGUUAAGUGGGAAACGAUGUGGGAAGGCCCAGACAGCCAGGAUGUUGGCUUAGAAGCAGCCAUCAUUUAAAGAAAGCGUAAUAGCUCACUGGUCGAGUCGGCCUGCGCGGAAGAUGUAACGGGGCUAAACCAUGCACCGAAGCUGCGGCAGCGACGCUUAUGCGUUGUUGGGUAGGGGAGCGUUCUGUAAGCCUGCGAAGGUGGCCUGUGAGGGUUGCUGGAGGUAUCAGAAGUGCGAAUGCUGACAUAAGUAACGAUAAAGCGGGUGAAAAGCCCGCUCGCCGGAAGACCAAGGGUUCCUGUCCAACGUUAAUCGGGGCAGGGUGAGUCGACCCCUAAGGCGAGGCCGAAAGGCGUAGUCGAUGGGAAACGGGUUAAUAUUCCCGUACUUGGUGUUACUGCGAAGGGGGGACGGAGAAGGCUAUGUUGGCCGGGCGACGGUUGUCCCGGUUUAAGCGUGUAGGUGUGUGUUCCAGGUAAAUCCGGUUCACUUUAACACUGAGGCGUGACGACGAGGCACUACGGUGCUGAAGCAACAAAUGCCCUGCUUCCAGGAAAAGCCUCUAAGCAUCAGGUAACAUCAAAUCGUACCCCAAACCGACACAGGUGGUCAGGUAGAGAAUACCAAGGCGCUUGAGAGAACUCGGGUGAAGGAACUAGGCAAAAUGGUGCCGUAACUUCGGGAGAAGGCACGCUGACACGUAGGUGAAGUGAUUUACUCACGGAGCUGAAGUCAGUCGAAGAUACCAGCUGGCUGCAACUGUUUAUUAAAAACACAGCACUGUGCAAACACGAAAGUGGACGUAUACGGUGUGACGCCUGCCCGGUGCCGGAAGGUUAAUUGAUGGGGUCAGCGCAAGCGAAGCUCCUGAUCGAAGCCCCGGUAAACGGCGGCCGUAACUAUAACGGUCCUAAGGUAGCGAAAUUCCUUGUCGGGUAAGUUCCGACCUGCACGAAUGGCGUAAUGAUGGCCAGGCUGUCUCCACCCGAGACUCAGUGAAAUUGAACUCGCUGUGAAGAUGCAGUGUACCCGCGGCAAGACGGAAAGACCCCGUGAACCUUUACUAUAGCUUGACACUGAACAUUGAGCCUUGAUGUGUAGGAUAGGUGGGAGGCUUUGAAGUGUGGACGCCAGUCUGCAUGGAGCCGACCUUGAAAUACCACCCUUUAAUGUUUGAUGUUCUAACGUGGACCCGUAAUCCGGGUUGCGGACAGUGUCUGGUGGGUAGUUUGACUGGGGCGGUCUCCUCCUAAAGAGUAACGGAGGAGCACGAAGGUUGGCUAAUCCUGGUCGGACAUCAGGAGGUUAGUGCAAUGGCAUAAGCCAGCUUGACUGCGAGCGUGACGGCGCGAGCAGGUGCGAAAGCAGGUCAUAGUGAUCCGGUGGUUCUGAAUGGAAGGGCCAUCGCUCAACGGAUAAAAGGUACUCCGGGGAUAACAGGCUGAUACCGCCCAAGAGUUCAUAUCGACGGCGGUGUUUGGCACCUCGAUGUCGGCUCAUCACAUCCUGGGGCUGAAGUAGGUCCCAAGGGUAUGGCUGUUCGCCAUUUAAAGUGGUACGCGAGCUGGGUUUAGAACGUCGUGAGACAGUUCGGUCCCUAUCUGCCGUGGGCGCUGGAGAACUGAGGGGGGCUGCUCCUAGUACGAGAGGACCGGAGUGGACGCAUCACUGGUGUUCGGGUUGUCAUGCCAAUGGCACUGCCCGGUAGCUAAAUGCGGAAGAGAUAAGUGCUGAAAGCAUCUAAGCACGAAACUUGCCCCGAGAUGAGUUCUCCCUGAGACUUAGAGUCUCCUGAAGGAACGUUGAAGACGACGACGUUGAUAGGCCGGGUGUGUAAGCGCAGCGAUGCGUUGAGCUAACCGGUACUAAUGAACCGUGAGGCUUAACCUU